This is a non-coding RNA of Coturnix japonica (Japanese quail), 14771 nucleotides long. Lineage: Eukaryota; Metazoa; Chordata; Aves; Galliformes; Phasianidae. The record is from RefSeq and is a predicted model, not a curated record.
GCCGCUCUCCGUCGCCGGGCCCUUCCCGCCCGGGGAGCGCUCCGCCGCUUCUCUCGCUCGCUGCUGCUGUUGCUGCUGCGCGGGCUCCAUCGCCCGCGGGGCCGGGGCUGCCGCCGCCCUCCUGCCGGGAGCGCCGCUCGGCCGGCGCUGGGAGGGGGGAGCCCGAGCGGGGCGAGGCGCCGCGCCCCGGGAACGAGGGGGGGGGCUCAGGGCGCAGCGUUCCGCCGCUGCCCCCGCGCCGCGCACCCGCCUCAGCCCCGCUCCCCGGCCGUCGCCAGCGCCAUGAGGGAGGCGGGCACCCAGCGAGCCCGGCGCCGCGCCCGCCCGCGCCUCAUGAAUAUGAAGUGGCCCCGCCGCUCGGGGGAGGCGGCGCGAUGUGACGGCACCGCUCGCGCGGCGGGGCGGGGCCUCGCCCGUAAACACCGAGUGACGGCAACAUGGCGGAGCGCGGUGCUGCUGGGGAGCGUAGUCCGCAGCCAUUCCCCACACAGCACGGAGACUACAAGGCCCGGCGGCCAGCGCUCCUCGCCUUCCCGCCUUCUGCUCUCUCCUCAGGAGAGCGCUGCCAUGACUACACUACCCCCAUCCCAUCCUGCCUGCAUAUAAAGUUGCUUUAAGUGAAUGGCUGAAAUGGUCUCUUUGCUGACAUGCCUCGAGCAGAAUCAUUGAAGAGGUUGGGCAGAAGAGACCCUGGAGGUCAUCAUUCUGGGAGCACCAAGGUGAGAUCACAUUGCCCAGAGCCUGGUCGUACACAAGGCACAAGUCAGGCAGGGCUCUGCAGGCUGAAAUUAGCAGCCUGACUCACAGGACAAAAAACUCAUAGUCAAUGAGAUGGCUGCUGAAUGCGCAUUACAACAGAUUGUCAAACACAGAACUAACCAAGGGCUCCUUUCUUUCAGGAGCUGAGGAAUAGAAAUCAUUUAUGACAUUUCCAAUCUAUGUCCUCUCAGGAGAAUAAAGGUGACCACAGAGGAUGAAACCACUGGUCUUGCCAGCAAUGUCCUGCUGAAGGAGGCUGUGACCGCAGCACGCCAAGGGGACAUGCAAGCAGUACGGCAGCAGGCAGUGUGGGACAAGCAGCUCUAGAAACCUUUCCCAAAACUGCCACAAUGGGAUGCUGGCUUCUCCCCAACAGCCCAAGAGUGUAAAUCCCUUCCAGAGCCCUUGUUUAUUUUUAUGUAUGCAUUACGAGCCCUCCAGCCCUCUUUCAAAUCCUGCUAAGCUUUUGGUUGUGGUGACACUCAAGAGGAAUGGAUUCCACUGAGUAAUUGCACGCCACGCAAACAUUUAUUUCCUUUUUAUCAGUUUUAAAUGCAUUCCUUUUCAAUGUAAUUGAACGUUCCCUUGUGUUUAUACUGUGAAAGCGAAACCAGCAGCAUGUGUUUAUGAGGGCAUUUGCUGGACAGAGGCUGAGCCUGGCUUCCCACAGCUCCAAGCCGGGGGAAAUCACACAGAGAAGAAUAAGCAGAUCAAUGGUUCGGUUUAAAUCAAACUCAACAGCAAUUUGCAACAAAAGGAAAAUCUUAUUCUCGAGUAUUUUCAUAGGAAAAUUAGUCCUUAUAACAGAAAAAAGAUUAUUAUUUUUUUAAUUUUUUUUUUUCUAUUUUCCAUUCAGGGAUGAUUUCAUACACUUCCUCCUCUCUUUAAGGGAAGAAUCAAGCAAACACCCUCACCCUGGCCCUUUGUUCCAGCUGGAAAACACACUCAAGAACACCUCUUACUAAAGGGGCUAAUUAAGCACAUGAUCCCUUUUCCCUUCUCAUAAAAGCUGCUGGAAAGCAACCCGAGCAGUGUCCUUAUUACAGCUGUGCCCAGAAAGCUCCUUCCUUGGCAGGGAAGGGCACUUGUGAUGGCAAGACGAGUCUGUUUCCACAUUCCCUGAUGCGCUGGGGUGGCAUCACACCUUUACACACUGCUUUACCAGGGAACAGCAACAUGGGCAGGAGUGUUUAUUUUUGGUGUCACGACAUUUCUGCAGAUGUUACAGGCUCAAUUAUCCCGCCGCUUCAGCCGUAACAUCGCAUUUGUCUCUAAGCUCCAUUUAUUUGGCUGAAACCCUCUAGUUGGAAGACGCUGCCUUCUGUAAGCUGGAGCUUCAGCACGGUAGAGCUUGACAGCUACCUUUGGUAAGGAAAUUUAUCUUUUUGGAUUGAUUCCACAGCACAGCUACAAAUCGCGUUUGGCAAACAGUUGAACAAAACAAGCUUCUUAACACGGAGUAAAAUAUACCUGCUCAUUCUUAGACUAUCCAGUGCUUUAAGGCAGGCUCAUUAGUCACAAAGAAUAAGUCAGCAUUCAGAUAAACGAUGCUUCUGCAAAGCAGGAGAAGCAUUCAGCAUCACCACGGGAAAGGUGAGUGUCACUGGGUGUCGGGAAACAACACAGCACAUCCCACAGCUCCUGAGUCACAGCUGGGAAAUGCAGCACAGCACUUAUUCCGUUCUGAGGUCGACCGUGACGAGCUGUGUUGGAGUGGUGGGUGACCUUAAGAAAUGGGGAUCGCUUCCCUCAUUUUGACUUCCUGCUUUUGCCAACUUCAUAAGCACACCAUGGUCACCAUUCUUUCCUGUAUCACCUUGUGGAAGAGAACUGCACGUCCAUAAUAUGUAUAACAUAAACAUUUUAAACACUUUCUGAGCAGCACACGUAAUGUAGUGUAAAUGAAAUUGAAAAUAACUAGGGAUAAUGAGCCGAGCAAAUAAUAUAGAAACCAGCCAAAUGCUAAGCCAAGCAAGGUAAAGCAAACACUUCAAGAGAGCUGAAUCAUUUGCCUUUAAAAUCUACCUGAACAUGGAAAUACAUCUCUCUCAUUUCCCCUGCUUUAUGAGCGCACGUAUACGCGGGUUGGUAAGAAAGCAGGAGCUGCCGCUGUACCGCAUUGCCACCUAUAGCGAGAUGUGGCACCUUUCUGCUAUUUCUUCACAGAAAUUCAGCAGAACGACAAGGAGAGGAGACACAUUAAAGUUUUAUUCCAUUCGUGGCAGUAUUCUCCAGAGGAAACAGUAAUAAAUUCCCUACAGUGUGACUGUCUAAAUAGAUUAUCCAACAAUUAUUAUUAAUUAUUAAUUAUCCAGUGACUCAGAAGCCACCCCGCGGCUGUCUACUGCAAGAAUCCUACAGCUUUUGCAACCUAAUGAUAUGAUUUUCCAAAUUACGAUGUCGCAAUGCUACGCCAUAUGAAAGGUUAAUGGGAGACGGCGUGAUGAAGUGAUACGAAUGUCUAAGGUUGUACUUGGACUUCCUGGCAGCAGGUUGUGAAAAAGCAACCCGAGCAAAUUCAGUGGAAAACCAGUUAACAUACAGAUUAUUACAAGGACUGAAAUGGGAGUUGAAGGCAUUUUAAAGGGUCUGCAGAGGGAUUUGUGAAAAUACCUUAAAAUAGUGCAGUAGGUGAGAACAUCUUUUUCUCUUCUGUUACCCAAGGGCACUUCUUCCAACCCAGCGUCCAAGUGGCCAGGCUGAGAGCUGUAAUUCACAUUAUCUAUGCACAUCCUCGGCUGCCCAUGUUUACCACACAGGAAAACAAGAUUGAUUUCUCAUUCUUAAGCACAUUUGUAACGUCUGUGCAAAUGAAUGUAGGACACAUCCCAGUAAGAUCAAUAUUUAUGCAGCCUACUUUGGAAAGAACAAGGGAGUUGCUUCAGCGCGGCAGGGGACCUACUCAUUGGCUUUCCUGCAGUUUCCUCUUUUCCUCUUUUUCCACACAAUUUGCCUGCUGGGUGCUCGCUGCUGAUUAAAAGUAGUGCUAAUGAAGGGACACCCCCAGGCCACCUGGAGCAGUGGGACCCCAUAAGGCUGCACAGCCACAUACAGCGCCCAUAGCUCCUGUCCACAGCUUCCUCCAGCCCCAUCCAUCUGCUUCUCUGUGGCUCACGGCUGCUCACACUUCAUGCCACUUGCAAAAGAGCAGCAAUCAAUUAUCCUAAUUAAAUGCAACGAUGGAAUAUUGAAUACCGGGGUUUAUUUCCUGCUCUAAAGGUUCACGUCUUUCACAUGCGCUUUCCCCGUGUUGCUUGUCGCAGCUGAUCUUGUGCAUUAAUUCUGUGUUAUAAACAGAGAGGGGAGAGUGAGUGGUACCUGCAAUAAAUCAAAAGGCAGAAAGGAGGCAUUAAAACAUGCCAACCUUUCCACAGCGUGCCAGUGUUUAAAAGCAUCCCCAGCAGCAUUUUUUCCAGCUCUCAUGUCCCUGGCUCGUAGGAGGCUGCAGCUUCACCAGUUGCUGGCAGAAGGUGGCCUCUAUGAAUUGUCUUCUUUCCGCCCUAUUUAUCAGGAGACUUUUUUAACCCUGACUGGAAUAAAGUUAGAGGCCGUCAAGCUCACCUGCUGCCAUGGGUUUCUGCUGAGCUGUAUGUGUCUUUAAAAAUGAACUGGAGUUCAAGAUCAGCAGCUUCAUAGCAUCCAUACCCUCUGAUUCACGGAGCUGGUUUAAUGCUCCAUCCCAUAAAGCACACCUUGCAGAUAUAAAACCCAUUCACAGCAAGCGUUAAUUCUUUUUCCAAGGGGCUCCGCCAUGAUUCUAGCACUACAAACUCCAGGUUAUUAACGAGCCUUCAUUUCCAUGGCUGUACCACCGAAAUGCAGCAUUGGCAAAUAGAGCAUUGAAUGCCUCUGCUGUAAAUAGUUCAAUUUUCCUGAGUAGCUAACUAGGCAAUAAGAGCCCUGUCACUUCCAUGUUGACAAAGUAUCUUCGUUACUAAGUAACUAUAGAGAUGUUUCUCUUCUUCUUGACGUAAUUACAAAGUGCCUUUCAUUAGCUCCUGAAAACGCUCAGGCUCAAAGCAUAAUUCCUACAACACGCUUCCCUGUUUGCAGGGAAUGCAACUUACGGUGACCUAUAUCAGCUAAGAAGAUUUCCUACUUAUUUCCCAGCUCCUAUAGCCCCUUACAACCAGGCUGAGAAAUCUGCAGCCAUCUCCCAGACCGCCAGCUCAGCCCCCACUGGUUUUGCUGUCUAUAUAGUUUCAACAGAUAAUUUUUCCUCAAUGUUAGGUGACGACAGAGGCUCCACCACCUCCCAGACAUGCUGUCCUCCACCCCGCUGCCCCGACUGGCUGUACAUGUUAGAUUUUCCCCCAGUGACCAGCCUGAAACUUCCUCACUGCCUCAUAGGCAGAGAAGGGCAAUUCCAUUCCUCUCUUUGGCAUGUUGCAAUGGCCUUCUUUCCUCCUUCAGGCAGACAACAGCUCAAGGCAGCUUUGCUUGUCCUCCAUCACAUCUUACAGAUGACUGCUUGCAGCUCGGACUUUGUUAGCCGGGUCUCCAGGUAUCCGAGGUCAGAGUAUAGCUGCCAUCCUGCAAAUAACUGACUCCUGUAUGGCUGCCAACGCACAAAUAGCUAACUUCUGUACAACCUCCUCUGCCUUCCUCGCUAGGGGCACCUGCCCUCAUUCUUUUGCCAUUGCUGUUAAUUGCAUCAUCUACCCACAGGCAGCUGAUGCUUCAGGGAAAGGAAGUCAAACAUGAAAAGCGCUGGGCGUCCCUCCCACCAAAAGGAAAGCAGCCAAAGAUCUCCCAUUUCAGCCCAUUUAUCCACCAUUACUGCCUGUACGGCUGCUCUGUGGCUGCUGGCAGUCCCGAUGCCCCAUGCUAGUGGCACCUGGUUUCCACCUCAACUCUUCUCCCACUCCUGUGCACUGUGGCUAUGCUUGGCACCAUCUCACCAGCUCGGUGUGUAUUCUGCCCACUCUGACCGCCUGGGCUGGAGAUGGAUGAGGACAACAGCUAAAGGGAGCAGGAAGGGGCAGCAAGCUCUGGGGCCACCCACAAGCCCAGCAAUCAACCAGCCAGUUCCAAAGAAAUCCACCUUUUCUUCCUUCUCUUUGGAUGACAAACAAAAAAGAAACUUACAUCAAUGCGGAGCUGCUCUCUUCCUUGUUUACAGAGAUCCCUACCUGCAGGCAAUGGCAGACUGUAAGCCCUGUCACAUGGCUGCAAGCCUGAAGGGAUUGUGCCAGGCCCUUGCAGAGCGUGCAGUGAGUAGUGCCACUACUCCAUCUCUACACCCCUCUUUACUCCAGUUAGUAUCACCGGCAAAAAAUAAAUAGGAAAGAAUGUUUAUCAGCCUAUGGAAGAUUUGUCCCAUUUGCUUCAGCCUACACCUAUCCAUGGAGUUAAACAUUUAUUGACCCCUGUGCAAGUGCAGCCAGAGAGCUGAACUAAAGCUGAACGCUUCCAAAAAGAAGCCAGCUUACGCUGCCAGAAGAUGUGGUGCUCAAAGGAAAUUAAGAUGAGCAAGAUUGCAAAACUGGGAUGCCUGCACUUGCAAAUUCCUUGCAACAGGUCCAACAAUUACCUGCCUGGUGCUGUUGUUUUACCUUUUGCCUACCACUGGGUAUGUAGUUAAGCUCAUUCAAGUGUGGCACUGAGUCACCUCAUUUGUCUGCAGCUAGUUAUUGGCCAUUAUAAUAACAAUAGUGUGAUACAUGCGAAAGCACGCCAGUAUCAUGUGGAUGCCUUCUUCCUGGAAGCAUUCAAGGCCAGGCUGGAUGGGGCUUUGAGCAACCUGGUCUAGAGGGAGGUGUCCCUGCCUAUAGCAGGGGUUUGUAACUAGGUGAUCUUUGGUUCCUUCUAAACCAAACCAUUCUAUGGGUCUAUGAUCCUAUGAUCCUACAGUCCUAUGAUUCUGCGACCAUGGUGGCUGUAUUUGGUAUUCUGUCCAGCUGCAGCAUCACCCAACAAGAGCCUGGUUGCAAAACACUCGUGGUUGAAUUCAGAGCAAUCUGAGGGGCAGAGUGGAAAGCUCAACCACAUGCAAACUCACCUGCAUUGUGCUUUCAUCCUCCUUAAAUGCAGAUGAGCAGAGCCCAGGGAUUUUUUCUUUCCAUCCAGAUUGGAUUUGGGAAUAAAUGAUGUGUGAUCUUCCUCAGGGACUGGGACUGGGACUGAUGCUCUUUCAUAUCUUCAUGGCCAGUGGGAUCAAGUGCACCCUUAGCAAGUCUUCAGAUAACACCCAGCUGUGCGGUGCAGUCAACAUGCCAGAGGGAAGGGACCCUUCUGUCUGAGACAGACAGACCCAAUCACACUCAAGCAGAAAGCCCAGGAGAACUUAAUGAUGUUCAGCAAAGCCAAGUGCAAGGUCCUACACCCGGGCCCCAGAAACCCCUGCUAUCAGUACAAGCUCGGGGAAGAAAGGAUGGAGCACAGCCCUGAUGAAAAGGACUUGGGAGUACUGGUGGAUGGGACAUGAGCUGGCAGUGUGCCCCCACAGCCCAGAAAGCUGACUGUAUCCAGGGCUGCAUCAAGACAAGCGUGGUCAGCAGGGCAAGGGAGGUGCUCCUGCUCCUAUACUCUGUGCUGGUGAGACCUCACCUGGAGUACAAAUCCUGGUCGCAUCUUCCUCUGGCACUUGGUGCUGCUGCUAAGAAACAUUCAGAUCUCAGGUUCUGAGAAGAGUUUUUUGCCAGGUUUUUAAGAAAAGUAAAUACAUGGAGAGAGAAAAGUAAUUAUAUGUAUCAUAUAGAUAUGUCUAUGUGAGACGAUCACAAAUUCUUGCUGAUGAUUUACUGUCACGAAAAGCAGAACGAGUGUCAGCACUGUCUCCUGUGAAUACCCUGGAUGAGAUCUUAAAUCACAAGAUUUUGCCUUUCAAAUGUUCCUCAUUGCAGCAAGCCCCGUGUUUACCAAGAAACAUCAGCUAUAAAGAGAGCAGGCUCUGUUUGCUGCAGCAGUAUACCUAGAGCAAUUGUUUUGUGGUUUUGGAAAAUCCCUUGCUGUUUUCCCUGUAUAUCUGGAGAACAAUUCCUUCUUGCCAAGACAAAAGGAGACAAAAGCUCAGUCUAUCCUAGAACCACGCUGUAUGCUUAACUCAAUUAUAGAGAUCUGAUGUACAGCGCCAGGGCUGCAGACAAGAUGUGAAACCUCACGGCCUCUCUCAGGAUUGAGGACAGCUCCUGGCUCAGCUUUUGUUGCAGUAAUGCACGGAGCCCUGGCACGGAGCACAAACUAAGAUUCAUUGAUAGCAGUUUCAGCUCCAGGGGCAAGGAAAAGUCACAUCAGAACAAUACACUUCCUGCCCUCACAGAUCAUUCUACCCACUCAACCCCAGAGCCAGGCUCUCUUUCCACCAGAGCUGCCUUGCAAGGGUCUGGCAGCGUCUUCUCUCCCGCAGAAGCAACCAGGUGGUCACAGCGGGACGUGCUGCCCUGCAUUGCAUGAAUGGGCCCUGGGAGCCCCUGACAUAUAGGGAGAAAAGCAGGACUUAGUGUCCUACCCCAGCAGACAGCAGGUAUUUGUUAGCAAGUGUUCCUCAGCCUAUGACAGGCAGAUUAAUCUUGAUGUAAAACAAAUUAAAACUCUUUAAUCUCUGUCAGGAUGGUUUCUGUGGUGCUCACACAGGUAACGUAUGGAGUUUUUAGUGGCCUGGGCACGCUUUGCUACCUGAAAUCAAUUAGUCAGAGUUCCUUGAUCUUCAGCAUGGGAUCCUGCCAUUGCGCAACUCUGGAAAAACCUCCCGUUGCACAAUAAUAUUUGGUGUCACCUCCAUCUACAAUACAACCGUGCAAUCAAGGUGUAUUGCGAGCAGCGGCCUAUUUGUACAUCACACAUACCUCUCCCUGCCCGCCUGCGUACAGCUGCACAUACCAAACACUGCCUGCCUGCUGGGGCAAACAGUGGGCAACCCUCCUUUCUGCACGGGGUGAGGUGUGUGAGGAAAAUGAGGUCAGGAGCUGAAGUUUGUCCCUGGCCACCCUGUUACGUAUAUAACCACCAGCGGGGAGGACAUUUCACAUAGGGAAAAGAUGACUGGCCCUUGCCCCGAAAGACUUCAACCCCACACAUUCCCUGCCCCAAGCGAACCUUUCAGAAGAAAAUAUGAAUCACCGCACAGUGAUUUGACUCCUUACACCAUCCCCUACUCAAUAGGGAUGGCCAUCGGACCACGUCAUCUUACAGAUACGUAUGGACCAGCCCUCACCUCAGAGCUCUCACAAGUGGCCCUUCUCAAGGCAUCCAAGCUCUUACUCCCACCGAAACCAGAAGGAAGAAUUCAGCCUUGAAGAUCUGGCUUAAACAAAGCAGGAGAUGACCACACAACAGGUUGCAUAGUGGUGGAGAAGACGGCAAUCCUGAUGUCUCCUGAGUCCUGGCCUUCUGCUCCUUAUGCCCAGGCUCAUGCCAGAAUGUUUAAUCUCCCAGGAGCUUACGCUAAGAUUGCUGUGUUUGUUUAAAUUUUAAAAUGAAACCUAAUCCCCUACAGGGAAGCCUACAUCACCGGUUGUUUUUCUUCCCCCAGCCCGGCCCAGAGGCAAACAACCCCACAACUUCUCUGCAGAUCUGCUGCCACAGAGGACGUGAAAUAUGAUUUUCUUGGUUGUUUUUUGUUGUUUGUUUUUUUUUUAAUCCCCUUUAUUGAUUUUUUUUCCUGGGUUCAUGAAAGGUUCACAAUGGAGAGUGAUGGUCCCGUGGGUAUGACUAUCCAUUUUAAGUGCCUUAUUUUGCUUUAAAGCAUUGGAGGGUGGGCUGCAAUAAGAGUAUGGUCAGAAAUGCCCGAGGGCUUGUUCCUGCCCAAGAGGCCCCCACCAUUUUCACUUAAAACACGCUUUUGACCUGAUUUAGUUAGAGCAGCAGAGAGGGCAGCAGCCAUUUUACCUCAGCAUGGCACAUUCAUUUCACAGAACUCAGAGGGAUUGCGCUCCACCAUCGGUGGAGGGAAGGACACUUCCUUCAGGUCCUACCAUCCCAUUCCUAUCUGUGACCAUCUGAUUUGUUUUCUGGACACCAAGAGGUUGGGCUCCAUCCCCAGUGUGUGUGUCACAGGGAUCUUCUGGCCAUUGAACCUUGGGGACCAGGGCCAGAUUUUGGAGAGGGCAGGGCUCCUGCCAGCACUGGGUGGCAAGCGGCCACGUAAGGUCAUGUUUUGGCCACCACAGAAAGCAGACCCAGGAGCUGAGUGUGGGUGUGGACCUUGACCACCCGCAUAGCUGGAACAUUACCCGCCCAGUUGCCCUGCUCCACAUCUGCUGGAGAUGUGACCUGGUUUCCAAGCCACCUCCUGGCUCUUGGUCGCGACCCUUUCGGUGACCUCGUUCUUGGAAGUGGUUAGGGCACGUAAACUGGAACGGGAAAGGGGAAAAGGUGAACGUACUGACAGAAGACUUGCAGCACAAGGAACCUAUCUGACAGCUUCAGCCUAAAGAAAUGCCACGUGGUGACCUUACCAUGUCCCACUGGACUUGCUCUAGUGGGUCAAUGCCCCUCUUGUAUUCAAGGAGCCUGUAACUGGACACUAUAUGCAAGAUGUGGCCUCACUAACGCCAUUUGUAGAUGCAUUUUCCACACAGAUGCUCGCAGUUUGUUUGAGGUGGUAUAUUCUAACUGCUUUUAAUAAAUUUAACGGAUUUUCUCAUCUACAUAUGCUGCAGACUAAUGCCAGGCAUAUGAUAUUUAAAAGGACCCUUCCACUGACCCCACAAGGCUACACCCAUCUUAUCUGGUUUCUAAUCCUGAGAGAUACAAGGCUCUGGGACAACCUUCUACUGAGAGAAGAACACAACCCAGCCUAAUUACCUCCAUAAAGGAGCUGUGGUAGUCUAUAAGCUUACGGGAGAGGUGAGCAAUGAUAGAGGCUGUGCUUUCUGACCCAGGAAGGCUCUUCCUUCCUGCAGAGGCAGCCUCAUUGCCACUGUGCUUCGAAUCCCCUGCUCUCAAGGUCUUGCCGGACAGCCCUUGGAUAGGCAGGAUGUCCUACAGCCGAACUGUACCUUGGCAAAGCUGCUUAGUAUUCAUCCUUUGGGGCCCAUUUCUGUCUAUCCUACAGGGCAAGGGCAAUUCACGAGGAAGAAAAGGCAUCUUAUAAAACAUAAAGUGUUUUGUUGGCUCCUUCUUUUUUUUUCCCAAGGAAGCCUAGAAGGCAGUGACAAGAUGCAUGAAGAGACUGUUUAUGUGGACAAGCAGCAUGGCCUAUUUAAGAGCCAAGUGAAAGAGUCAUUAUUCUGGACUCCCAUUCUGAUGUUAACCAAAAAUAAAAAAUGUCAGGAUUUGGCAAAAAGACCACACACAGUCAAGGAAGCGGCGCUGGCAGCAGGGAGGUGAGGCGAGCAAUGGGCUCUGAAUGGGAGGCCAAUGAAAGUUGAGUUUCCUGCUUGAGAAAACAUCGACCCGGCGCUUCCAGGAGCAAUUGACACAAGCAGAAAGCACUGAAACACUUGUGCGAGGCAGAGCAGCUGAGUACAGAAGUGAAGCCAAUUACUGCUGCGGUCGGUUCCCCCUUCAGAGUAGUUGUGCACAGUGAGGGGUAGAACUGUCCUGGAUUUCAGGCCAGCCAGUCACACAGCUUAUAUGGCAGCCCUACGUGGCACCUCGGGCUGGGUGCACAGCGGAGUUGCCCUUAUCUGCUGUAGUGCAGUUUGGUGGGUCUAAGGCAGGGGAUGAAUUUGUUCUGGCGUUGAUUUCAGGGUGGAAGCCUCAGCAGAGCAAACACAGAGCAGUUCAUGCAGCCAAAUGACCCGGCCCUCCACCACCAUUUGCUCCCUCUGCUUUCUGGCAAGUUCCUGCAACGUUUUUCUGAGCCGGAGGCCAGAAUUUCUCAAGCACCUAAAAUCAUGCUCUGUAAUCAACCUGGCUUGAUUGUAAUUGCUGGAUUUCUAAUACCAGACCUGCACGCUAUAGUUGUUCAGCCCUCCGGUAACAAAGGUCCUCGGCAGAGCAGUGGUGACUCAGCACACCGCUGCCCCAUUUGGCACAAUUCAAGCCUGGAUUCCCUCCAGUGGGGGGGAUACAUGCUAUGACUCGUGCUUAGCAAAUAACUCAGUGCUCUCACCCCACCUUCCCCACCUUUUCCCCGGGACCACAUUGAGAACACAGCCGUGUACCCACAUACUUACAAAGAGGACUGAUUCCAGAGCUCCACCCCACAGCCCCAUGCCCAUCUUUUAUAGGGGCACAGAUGUAGCCCUGGGCUUCUAACCCACAUCUUCCACCUUUCCCUCAAACCAAAUGUCCGCCGUGGACAGCAUGAUUUGUGACUCCAGCCUAGCAGUACCUCUGUUUACAAUGCACACAAAAGGGGACAGAAGUAUCUCUGUGUCUCAUAGAGAUGGAAUUAUAAUUAAUUCCAGAGGAUUCCUAAGUGCACGGAUAAUUUGGUCUUUAGGAGUAUUUAACGUGCUGUAGCUACAACCUUGAAGCACUAUUUGGAAACCUAAGCAGGAAGAAAAGCCCCGCAUGGAUGUUUCCCCAGGAGUGCAGCACAAGGUGAGUUUCCACAGGAGCAGGACAGGGCAGGCUAUGAGCACCGCCCUCCCCAUGGGCACUUGGUACCUUUGCCCCUUGAUCCGGCUGCGAAGGACAUGAGAGGGGUGUGGUGAAGGAUCUCCAUGCUGAUGCCAGCUCUGAAGGCAAUGUCCCACAGUCUGGGUUUCACACGUUUACACAGAGCACUCAGACACACCAGUGGUGGGGCUGGGAGGUCACUGUUGAGCCCCCCAAGCUGUGCCAGGGACAUGGUUUAGUGGGGAAUAUAGGUGGUAGGUGGGUUGUUAGACUGCAUGACCUUGUAGGUCUUUUCCAACCUCAGUGAUUCUGUAAUUUCACCUAAACCCUACAACAGGCAGAGAGCACAGCUCCACUCCCCUCUGAUGCCUCCUGCCCCAGAGACAGGGCUGGACCUUGUCUCCUCACCACCGUUAAUGCUCAACACAUGUGAAAAGGCAAGGCCAGUCUGCUUGGUGCUGGGAAGUAAAUGAACCAGGGGAGUGAACUCAUCCCUAAUUGCACUGCCUGAACUUUUAGAGCUCUAAGAGCCAAAGCAUGACAUCAUCCUAAUGUGACACGAUAACAAUGCAGAAAAAUGAUUGCAAAAAUGAACAGAUAACUCUGAGACAAGACUUACAGCCAUGUUAACAGUGACAUCCAGCAGCAUCAGAGCUGAAAGUGAGGGUUUGGAGGUUGACCCCAUUGCUCCACUGGAAGCAAGCAAUGCAGGACAUGGUAGAGAUGGAUGUGGUUUGAGGCCAAAAAUGAGAAGAUGAGACCCAACAUAGCCAGCACUGUGAAACUGGAGAUAAACAGGUGAAUAAUGUUGUUUUUCAUUUGGAUAACUGUGGUAACAUUUGCUCACCCCUGGUGCUACCCAAGGCCCCACCUGUGAGCACCUGACCAAAGUCAUUAUGCUCUUAAGAGACGAAGCAAAGGGCAGGCAAAAUCUUACACUGAGAACCAGCACCUUGUAGGCUGAUAACACCUCAGACAGGUAAAAACUCACUCAAAACCCAUCUGCAUCCACAUCUGUAUGUCGGUGCCAUGGGAUCAUUGCCCCUCGUUGUCUCAGAGAGGGAAAGAUGACGUUAUAGAUCCCAUGCAAUGACAAACACUGGAAAAUGAGUUUUCAACUGAAAUGAUUUUAUCUGUGAAUUACAUCUAUGUGUUUUGCUUUCUCCGAUACAGCAGUGAAACCCGCCCUCUUUCACCUGUCCUUGCUCCCUCAGGCUCAAAUGUAUUUUAAUAGGUCUCAAAUGAGCAGCAAAAUACAUAACCGCAUGGUUUAAUAGCUUCCGUACUGCUACAGAAAUACUUGCAUAGAAGUGUAGCUGGAAAGCCCUGUUUGCUUCACAGCUGGCUAAAUCAGCACUGUGUCAUUCUGACUUUGCAUUUGUUUCAUGACUGAAGGAUGAGAGUAUCUGCUAUGGCAUUUGACCUGAACCUGCCUUAUUUAAGGCAGGUUCACUGACUCUAGUGGCCAUAUUUCAAGCAGCCCCAGUCAGGGAGCCAAUGCAGUGCAGCAUAAGAGGAGCAAUGCAGGGGUACCAGCAAUGCAGGCCCACCCAGGGACCCUUCAGCCACAGCCAGGACUAGGUGUGUAGGCCCAUGGACAAAACAGGGCUGCUAUGCAGGCUAUGGCAGGGGGGUGCAGGCUAUGGCAGGGGGGUGCAGGCCCCAGGAGGCUGGCAGGGCCAUGAAGGCCUGUUAGUGCUCUCCAGCACCAGCUCUUUGAGUUUGGUUGGGUUUUUGUUGGUUUGAGUUUUAUUUUCACAUGAGCUUUGGCUUGUGUUUUCUCCUGUCCAGCACUGAGGAUCCCUGCCACCUCUCCCUCUCCAUCCUCUGAACUCCCACAUUUCCUUUCAUCAAAGGCACGGUCAGCUGUAAUAACAAUCCUGGCACAGACAAAACAGUUACCCAUGGCACAGCAGGCACACACCUCAGCAAAGCAAAGCAGCACUCAGAGCUCCUAAACUGUACAGAAACAGAAUUAAUUUUGCUAAGGGGCUGAGGGCAUUUCCCAGCUCUCGGGUGGCAGCAGGAGUAACCCGGUGUAUUAUGUAGUAUUUCAAAUGUAUUAUUAGUCUCUUCUAAGGCCACAUAAAGUAGCCCCGUGUAGGUUGCAGGAGGCUCCAAAUUCCCAUUAGGUGAAUGAGAUGCUCAGCUGCUCUGUGCUUCAGUGCACAAUUCAGUUACCUUUGUCCCACACAGACUCAAUCACCUACUUACUGAUCUUUGCUAUGAGCCGGAUCCGAGCUCAGAAAUCCAGUGCAGUGUGAAAUUGUCUCACCUUAAGCCUAACCCAGUGCCCAAUGGCAUUUUUUGCUGCAGCUCCCUCCCCCUCCUCACACAUUCCUGCCGUUUUCAUUCAAGGUUUUUAUUUCAUACGGUGACAGAGGCCAAGACAUUUGCACACACGCUUUGAGGUACCUGGGAAUCAUCGUCAGAGCACACCUCACAGCAGAUCUGGACAUCAAGGAGCUACUCGAGUCCCGUGAGGUUUUCACCCGAAGCCCCGCCACUGCUCAGCUGCCCGCUCUCGUGCUGGGGCCUGCGCGUGUCCUGUAAGAGAGCUU